GUAGGGAAUCUUCCGCAAUGGACGAAAGUCUGACGGAGCAACGCCGCGUGAGUGAUGAAGGCUUUCGGGUCGUAAAACUCUGUUGUCAGGGAAGAACAUCCGGGAUGACCUCCCGGUCUGACGGUACCUGAUCAGAAAGCCCCGGCUAACUACGUGCCAGCAGCCGCGGUAAUACGUAGGGGGCAAGCGUUGUCCGGAAUUAUUGGGCGUAAAGCGCGCGCAGGCGGUUUCUUAAGUCUGGUGUGAAAGCCCGCAGCUCAACUGCGGAGGGCCACUGGAAACUGGGAAGCUUGAGUGUAGGAGAGGAGAGCGGAAUUCCACGUGUAGCGGUGAAAUGCGUAGAUAUGUGGAGGAACACCCGUGGCGAAAGCGGCUCUCUGGCCUAUAACUGACGCUGAGGCGCGAAAGCGUGGGGAGCAAACAGGAUUAGAUACCCUGGUAGUCC
RNAcentral lists this ribosomal RNA (445 nucleotides) under uncultured bacterium. Its description in RNAcentral is "bacterial SSU rRNA". It matches the Rfam family "Bacterial small subunit ribosomal RNA", at positions 354 to 796 of the family's 1533-position model. The record is from RNAcentral.